Molecule: transfer RNA, 72 nt
Filed under: Camelus bactrianus (Bactrian camel)
Lineage: Eukaryota; Metazoa; Chordata; Mammalia; Artiodactyla; Camelidae
Also listed under: 2 other names
Rfam family: tRNA
About the family: Transfer RNA (tRNA) molecules are approximately 80 nucleotides in length.
Source: Rfam by way of RNAcentral
GAAGGUAUAACUCUGUGGUAGAGUACAUGCUUACCAUACAUAAGGUCCUGGGUUCAAUCCCCCGUAGCUCCA